RNAcentral lists this microRNA precursor (127 nucleotides) under Myotis brandtii (Brandt's bat). Its description in RNAcentral is "mir-9193 microRNA precursor family". Lineage: Eukaryota; Metazoa; Chordata; Mammalia; Chiroptera; Vespertilionidae. The record is from Rfam by way of RNAcentral.
UGUGCACCAGUGGGGUCCCUCAGCCUGGCCUGUGCCUUCUCGCAAUCUGGGACCCCUUGGGGGAUGUUGGGCUGCUGGUUUCAACCCAAUCCCUGCAGGCCAGGCUGAGGGACCUCACUGGUGCAUG